GAAUACAACAAUAAGACGAGAAGACCCUAUGGAGCUUUAAUUAACCGACCCAAAGAGACCCAUUAAUUUCAACCGACAGGAACAACAAACCUCUAUAUGGGCCGACAAUUUAGGUUGGGGCGACCUCGGA
Molecule: ribosomal RNA, 130 nt
Filed under: Puma concolor (puma)
Lineage: Eukaryota; Metazoa; Chordata; Mammalia; Carnivora; Felidae
Description: partial 16S ribosomal RNA
Source: RNAcentral